Columba livia (rock pigeon) is the source of this 4751-nucleotide long non-coding RNA. RefSeq lists it as uncharacterized. The record is from RefSeq and is a predicted model, not a curated record. Lineage: Eukaryota; Metazoa; Chordata; Aves; Columbiformes; Columbidae. The transcript has 5 exons.
CAUGAUAAACAUUUGUGGAGGAGAAACUUAGACAAUUCUGCUUGCACUUUUCACUGCCCCUCAUAGGGUUAGCAGCUGGCAAGGCCACAAGCAAGUCAGGAAUAUGUCCUUAUGUUGAAAGGGAAUAAAACGUUGAUGCUUCUGGAAAAUGGAGUUGUAGGACAUGCCCUCAACCAUGAGCCUUCCAGUUGAGUCCCUUUUUGAAGGAGCAGAGCUGCCUUCCAGGAGGAUUGUCCUCCAGCCCUGGAGGGAAAUGGGAGAUGAGAGGCAAGUUGUAGCAGAUGGAAAAGCCAAAUCUUGUGUGUGGACAGCAGUGUUAUGGAAAUGUGGGUGAAACGGCAGGUGGGAGAAGGUUAAUAAGCAGUGAGAGAUAAAGGAAGAAGAAAUCAAAGUAUAGAGAAACCUCUUAUCUAUCUCUUUCAGUCCUUUGGUUUAGAGUUGCUAGCUCUGGUUGGCCUCCCACUUUCUUUCAAACCUAUUCAUAGCGAUUUAUUUAACACUUCUGUUUGCUUUAAAAACUGAAAGUACAUCAAGGCUAAAUAUAAGCAUAUCUCCAGCUCUUUGUUCUCUCUUACAAAGGCUGUAGCUAAGAUUCUUCGCUACCUUGCACCUUGAGAUACUAAUUACACGUGUCAAACUAAGUGUGGACUGCUCCCACCAACAUCAGAGGAUUUUGUUUGAUGUCUUACACCUUCCCUCCGCAGACUGAAAUCACUGCCAGAGGUGCAAGACUGACUAAUACUUACCUGUUUAUAUUGAUGGAAAGCUCUCUGAUUAAAGCACAGCAUAGAAACAGUGCACUUGGGAUACACUUCUUGCUUUGGACAUGCUGCUUUUAUUAAUUUAGGCAAGGUCAGAGAGCCACUCGUCGGCACAGGCUCCCAGCAGAGCAGGAGAUAGCUGACGUGGAAGCCACUCUGAGCUGUGCGGGGGCACGGAGGAUGCUUGAAAGGGAAGUUCUAACAGGAAAGAAGAAAGCUGGAAGGACCCAAAGGUUUAAGGCAUAACCCUUUGGAAACUAGAGUUCCUUGUGCUGAAGGAAUCAUCACCUGCUUCUUUUUCACCGCACAUCUGGACUGAAUUAGGCAGAAAUAAGAAUAAUGUCAAACAAAUUUUCUGAUUGCUGGGUAUUGUUUCUCCUGGAACAUGAUGGAUUCCUCCGAGGUUUUCUGUGCUCAGACUCACUCUAACUGCCACACAGAAGCCCAUCCUGCAUCAGAUGUUAUUUCUAUUAACACUGAAGAAUGGACAUUUCAUUUGACCUCUUUUUUUGAUUUUAGCUUUAAUAUUUAGCUUAAUUUUAACUUCAGGUUUGAUAUUCAGUUUAACUUCAAAGCAAACUGCUUUUGUAACACUCCUUUCUUGUAUGGCUGUGAGAUUGUUUGAAAUUCAAUUUCAUAAGUUCAGACAUAUUUGCAAACAAUUAUUUUCAGUGUCUUGCUGUUGCAUUCAAAUUGCUUAGUACAACUGAUUCUCAGUUUCUUUAGAAUCAGAUCACUUCUGCUCAGAGGUGAAGCCUCAUCAGACUUCACAAAACAAUAUAAAAGGGAAUUGUCUGAAAUGAUAUGAUUAGAGAUGUGUAAAACUGCUUGUGGAAACACAGGUGCUUGACAAGCCGUUAAUGAGAUCAUUAAAAAUACACAAAAAUUCAAUUUCAUCUGAGAAUAAGAGACUUGUUGUAAAAUGCUUAAAAUAUAUUAAAAACCUGUAACAAAGUUUGAGAGUGUACAGCGAAUUUUACUUCCUAAUGUGGAGCAUUGACCAUCACACUAGAGAAAGAAAAAUAUUGAUGCUUAAAUCAAGUUGAAUGGCAGGCUGUAGCUUCUCCCAUCCAUGGAGAUAUUGCAUGUGUAAAUUGUGCAAGUCUUUGCAAUGGAAGUACACAAAAAUCCCCUUAGGGAUACAGUGGUGCGGGGACUGCAGGUCUGCUCAUACCCAAAGGUACAGCAGUGGUAAAAAUACAGUUUUAACCAAUGUAUUUAAAUAAUUUUAUCAUGGAAUUUUAUUAUUAAAAAUUAAGAGGAAUCCCAUCAAGUUUAAACCAGCUGGAGAUUGGAGCCUGGCAAAGAGGUUUCCAUCUGCAAGGACAAAUUUUAAAAUGUGACUUAUGAAUCUCUCUUGUGCCCAAACUGGACAGCCCUGUUGAAUCCAUGAGGAACCACAUCACCUUGAACUGUUGAAGGAAGAGUCUUGUCAAUCUGGAUAAAACUCAAACAUUUUAUCAAGGUGCUGGCUCUGCAUCGGAUGCCCCACAAGUGUGGUGGGAUGAGUAUGUUUGCAUCUGAACUGCUCUGCUAUGGAGAACAUAAACAUCCCUGACAAAAACAGUAGCUCCAGCAAUGAAAUCCUGAGUGAUGAAGCUCUCGGAGUAAGCUGUUGACCUGAUCAAACUCUGCCUGAAUACCCCAUGGAGUGCGUCAUGCCUGGGUUCUGCAGUCUCUGAUCAUCAAUGUAGCCAUAUAGGAUGAUGCUCCUUGUGCUGCGGAGAGCCAGCGAUCAGUGGUCCAUGGAGUAAAAGCUGUGGAAUGAGCUCCUGUGCACCUGGUCCCCAUCCCAAAGGGCAGCGUUCAGUCUCGGAAUACACUGUCUUUUCAUUUGACAGACAUCUUGCCAUAAUCUCUCAGCAGACUCUUGCAGCUAAUCUCUCUAUUGAUUUUUGCUUAGAAACACCUAGAGCUAUUCGAUCACUAAUAAAAUCUGAAGAGUUCAGUUUUCAAGACAUUUAACCCAUUUGGAGGCAAGGCUUAUUUAUCGUCUGAUGGGCAAUCGAAUAGCUGUGCUCAUUUCUAAGUAAAGGCAUCGUACAGGCAACAGAAAACCAAAGCAAAAUCCAGCUACACUGAGUUCUAGCCCAGAAACCAGACCCGAUUUGGGCUAUUAGUGUCCAUGCAUCUGGCUAAUUCCUUCUUUCACUGCUCUUUUGGUCUAUUUUCCCAGUUUAACUGGGGAAAACACAUACAUGUAUCUUUCUGAACCUCUGUUUCCUUAGCAGCUGACACUGCUAUCAUCAAUACCAUGUGGCAAAUCUCAGUGGACAUUGUCUGGAAGAAAAAGAAACCUUCUAAUUGCCUUUUAGUUUGCUUUCCUUAUCUCCCCUCCUGUGAUUUUUCUCUGCCCUGCUGUGGAUCCAGAUGAUGUUUUGUCCAUGGCUCCUUGCAGAUUUGCUGAGAAGAAGCCAAGGUGAGAUGAAGCUGUAGAUGCAAAGGUUGGUGUGUGGGGGAUGAGAUGUGAAGAUGGGAUUGACCGCUGGGGUCACCUUCCUGCAUCCCACACUGGCUGCCCUGGCAGCCAGCCCAGUUUGGUGCUUAUCUCUUCAGGAAAGCUGGAAAUUACCGAACAAAGGCAGAAUCAACAGGGAAAGAACACCAAGUCACCUCACUCUGGGGCAGAAGUCCUUACUGGCACAGGGAGAAGGCUAAGGUGUGUAAAUGGAAAGAAUACAGGGAGAGUUCAUGUCUUCAGGUAUUUUUUUACCUUUAAAUAAGGCCACAUUUUCAGUAAAAAAAAAAAAAAUAAUGUCUUAUUUAAUUGCAAGCCCCUCAGGACCCUUGCAAAAAAGCUGUAAUAUUUCAUUAGAUAAAUGAUAUGCCUAAAUUGAUAUCAGAUGUCUCAGUUUUCUAUUUAUUUAAAUGAUGAACGAUGGUUUAUUAUGAUUAAGAUAAUUUUCUGACUUCUUUUCUUUUAUGUUUUCUUGACAUUUAGACUAGGGGAAAAAUAAAAAAUAAAACCAGCCAUCGGUAAGUGGUUUUAUUGGUUAAAUUUUAAUGUUAUUUUUAAGCAAAUAAUGAAUUACUUUGACAAUAACUAUAGAGCCAGACAUGAUUCAUUCUUAUAAUUACUUUGACAGUCACCAUCAACCCUGUAGUUUUAGUUCAUGUGAUUAUAAAAACUUGUCUCCUUUUCCUAUAUAACAUCUUACCAAAUUGCAUCCCAUGAAAUACGAUGUACUUGCUGGGGCUUUGUGCUACAAUUCUCCUUUGCUUGGAGAUUCCUCAGAAUAAGUUUUGCGAUUCCAGAGCUGUGUGUCGACACCCAGCCCUAAGAUUCAGGCUGGAGCCAAAGCAUGGGGAAUAGUGACAAUCUAGAAUAGCUUUUGGCCUUUCUAGAUCACAGCUAAUUUUGCAGAGGAAUUAGACCACGGAAGCUUCAGAUGCAAAUCUCUCUCGGAGGAGCUGAGCACAGCCAAAGCACUUGCCCUUGUUGAGCGUAUGCCAGCAGCCCUCGAGGGGACUGAAGCAACAUUACACUCUAUUUAAUUACCGCACAUACAUUUGGCAAAAAGAAAUUACCUAGUACGUGGCAAGAGGUUUUCACAUGUGCUAGUUAAGACAGGUGAGUGAUUUCUCAAACGCUGGCCUCUAUGACAGUGAUUCAAAAUAAACAUUGCAUAGCUUUCUCUUUUCUUUUCACAAAGACUGCCUACCCAGCAAUAACGUUGAAUAUUUAAGGAAGACACGGAUAUUGGCUUGUUAUGGAAAUUGAUUGUAACUCUUUUAAAUAAUUUCCUUGGUUAACUUUGGUUUCUAGAAAAAUAUAUCCAUGUACAUUGAGGCAUUGUUACUUCUAUAGCUAUGACCUUUGCUCAUGGUCCCAGCAGGAAGAGGAGUUAUUUGAACCUUCCUGGGAGUUCCCACAACAGCUUGCAAAGUGUUUGUCAUAUUGACGUGUAGGAGAAUAAGCAUUUAUUUACUAUCAAACCGUAUAGACUUUUUUUUUAAUAAAAAAGGACUUUUUUGGCACAUCUUAAUAGU